Molecule: RNase MRP RNA, 495 nt
Rfam family: RNase MRP
About the family: RNase MRP is an enzymatically active ribonucleoprotein with two distinct roles in eukaryotes.
CCCUCGCCCGACAAAUCGCCAUCGAAGCUUCACACGGAGAUAUCUCUUACGAGUUAUCUCACAAUAUAUGCUUCGGGAGAAAGUCCCCGGACAAUCUUCUUCCCCAAGAAGAAGAACGCCGAAAGGCGCCGCCAUAGAAGCACCACGCGGCUGAUCUCUACGCUCCUCCGUCCUCUUGUCUGACUCUGCCAGCCCUGCCCCGCCGCUACAUCUUUCGGUUCUCAUACCCGGAGGUCUGUCAACGGUGGUUUUGCCUGAUCGCGCUCUAUGGACGAAGAUAUGAGUCCUGCGCACAGGGCGGGAUCUCGGUUGCUUAGGCUUCUGGAGUGUGACCGUUCGAUGGCGGGGUGGACGUUAUGUGCGGUCUAGUGCUGGGGGCGCUUUGUGGGGAGGGUUUGAGAGGUGUUAUCGUCGAGAUUGGAUAGGUAUGCGAUUGCCUUUGGUCAAGCUCACGCUUGACUGGGUUACUCGAUGGGGCUCAUUCUUGGUGCGAGG